GUCGAGCGGCAGCACGGGGAGCUUGCUCCCUGGUGGCGAGCGGCGGACGGGUGAGUAAUGCAUAGGAAUCUGCCCGGUAGUGGGGGAUAACGUGGGGAAACCCACGCUAAUACCGCAUACGUCCUACGGGAGAAAGCGGAGGAUCUUCGGACUUCGCGCUAUCGGAUGAGCCUAUGUCGGAUUAGCUAGUUGGUAAGGUAACGGCUUACCAAGGCGACGAUCCGUAGCUGGUCUGAGGGGAUGAUCAGCCACACUGGGACUGAGACACGGCCCAGACUCCUACGGGAGGCAGCAGUGGGGAAUAUUGGACAAUGGGCGAAAGCCUGAUCCAGCCAUGCCGCGUGUGUGAAGAAGGCUUUCGGGUUGUAAAGCACUUUCAGCGAGGAAGAAAGCCCCUGGGUUAAUACCCCAGAGGAAGGACAUCACUCGCAGAAGAAGCACCGGCUAACUCCGUGCCAGCAGCCGCGGUAAUACGGAGGGUGCGAGCGUUAAUCGGAAUUACUGGGCGUAAAGCGCGCGUAGGUGGCUUGGCACGCCGGUUGUGAAAGCCCCGGGCUCAACCUGGGAACGGCAUCCGGAACGGCCAGGCUAGAGUGCAGGAGAGGAAGGUAGAAUUCCCGGUGUAGCGGUGAAAUGCGUAGAGAUCGGGAGGAAUACCAGUGGCGAAGGCGGCCUUCUGGCCUGACACUGACACUGAGGUGCGAAAGCGUGGGUAGCAAACAGGAUUAGAUACCCUGGUAGUCCACGCCGUAAACGAUGUCGACUAGCCGUUGGGACCUUUAAGGACUUAGUGGCGCAGUUAACGCGAUAAGUCGACCGCCUGGGGAGUACGGCCG
Molecule: ribosomal RNA, 836 nt
Filed under: uncultured bacterium
Lineage: Bacteria
Description: bacterial SSU rRNA
Rfam family: Bacterial small subunit ribosomal RNA
Source: RNAcentral